GAUGAACGCUGGCUACAGGCUUAACACAUGCAAGUCGAGGGGAAACGACGGGGAAGCUUGCUUCCCCGGGCGUCGACCAGCGCACGGGUGAGUAACGCGUAUCCAACCUGCCUCUGACUGAGGGAUAACCCGUCGAAAGUCGGCCUAAUACCUCAUGGCAUCGUCUGCGGGCAUCCAACGACGAUUAAAGAUUUCAUCGGUCAGAGAUGGGGAUGCGUCUGAUUAGCUUGUUGGCGGGGUAACGGCCCACCAAGGCGACGAUCAGUAGGGGUUCUGAGAGGAAGGUCCCCCACAUUGGAACUGAGACACGGUCCAAACUCCUACGGGAGGCAGCAGUGAGGAAUAUUGGUCAAUGGGCGAGAGCCUGAACCAGCCAAGUAGCGUGCAGGAUGACGGCCCUAUGGGUGGUAAACUGCUUUUAUGCGGGGAUAAAGUGAGGGACGUGUCCUUCAUUGCAGGUACCGCAUGAAUAAGGACCGGCUAAUUCCGUG
RNAcentral lists this ribosomal RNA (491 nucleotides) under uncultured bacterium. Its description in RNAcentral is "partial 16S ribosomal RNA". It matches the Rfam family "Bacterial small subunit ribosomal RNA", at positions 28 to 507 of the family's 1533-position model. The record is from RNAcentral.